Molecule: long non-coding RNA, 318 nt
Filed under: Olea europaea (common olive)
Lineage: Eukaryota; Viridiplantae; Streptophyta; Magnoliopsida; Lamiales; Oleaceae
Description: long non-coding RNA (OEUR_LNC003653)
Source: RNAcentral
CUCCCAACUCCCACGAUGACCUUAACCCUGAUUUUAUACACCUCAAUCUUCGGUUUCCUCCUAUACUCUUUACUUAACCACCUUCUCCUCCGCCGCUAUCCAAAACCGCUACCGCCUGGCCCAAAACCAUGGCCAAUAAUCGGAAACCUCCCCAACAUGGGCCAGAAACCUCACCAAUCCAUCGCCGCCAUGGCCCGAGUUUACGGCCCCCUCAUGCAUCUUAAAAUGGGGUUCGUCCAUGUGGUUGUCGCCGCCUCGGCAGGGGUAGCGGAGCAGUUUCUUAAGGUCCACGACGCCAAAUUUUCCAGCCGGCCACCU